Molecule: non-coding RNA, 1674 nt
Organism: Pimephales promelas (fathead minnow)
Lineage: Eukaryota; Metazoa; Chordata; Actinopteri; Cypriniformes; Leuciscidae
Source: RefSeq, a predicted model, not a curated record
AACUGCUGACUGUUAACAUUGAUGAUAAUGAGAAAUGUUUCUUGAGCACCAAAUCGGCAGAGAAUGUAAUGUAAAGAAAUGUGUCUUUUUAUACUUUUCCGACAGCAGACAUCCAAAUAACAAAGUUCUAGUAUUGUUAGUCCCACAAAGAUAAAUGUGUGCCCAGAAGCUCAUUACGGUGAAGGUGAUGUCAUUCAGACGGCAGUACCUAUUUGAUCUGUAGUUCUUAGUGUGCUGGAAUCACGAGUAGGCUUUACUGAACAAACAUUUCACUUUCAGAAGCAUGCGAACGCACGCUCUCACUACCGUGACAGCAAAAUUGAAAGAAAACAGUAGUAUGGGUAUAUACAUAAUAAAGUAAAUAAAGUAAUAAUGUCUUUGGUAAGAUAUGACAAAGAAGCUUUCUUGACAAUAUUGUGUUAAAUAAUAGGCCUACUAGAUAAUAUGAGGUGCUGUCAACUGAAAUGAUUCUGGCUGGUGUGUGUGUGUGAGAGAGAGAGAGACAGAGAAAGAAAAAGACUAGCCUAUAUUUUCACCUGACAAAACAUGCGCCCAUGUCCCGGACUGCUGUCAGAUAGCCAUAAAACUAAAGCCGUCUGUAGAUUACUGUUUUGAGCACAGAGUGUAUGCUGGGAAUGUGAGAAGAAUGCAAGUUAGCACAAAGGGCAAACAGGUAACCUAAAUUACAAAGUAUGUUUGUGUAAUCAGGUGGGUUCAGGUCACUGAAAACCAUGAGAAAAUGUCUUGUAGCAAAACUAUUACAACAGCAAUUGUAAACCUUUAUGUUUAAUAUAGAAUACGCAAAUGAGAGACCAUGAAUUUAGACAAUCCACCCUGCUAAAUCUCAUUUCCUGGAGUUGAGGGCUGUCUUCUCGACAAUAAUGCAAUACAAUAGCCUUACAUGAUAUUUCACCCCAAGAAAUAGCCUACUGAGAGUUUUUUUUUUUUUUUUUUUUUUCAAAAGAUGAGAGAAACCCAUAAAGAUUUGGAGCAACUUGAGGGUGAGUAAAUAAUGACAAAAUGUUCAAUUUUGGGUGAACUACCGGUAUCGCUCUAAUUAAACCAUUUGACCCUAUGAAUCACCCGUAGUUCAAGCCAGCAGCCAGGAUUGCCAGGUCCGCGUUUUUACACCAAACAUUAUUUGUUGGACGCCUCCCUCCCAUACAGUAACCGCAAAGAGCUUUGUGCUUUUGUACUUCUGACUAGAAAAGUCUGCAGACUUCAAAUUCUGUCCAUUUUAUCACAAAAUUUAAACAAUGGCGUUUUGGCGCUCUUAAAUGUGACGUAAUGUAAUGCCUCGCUCGCAGCCUCAGUUCAAGCGGCAACAUGGAGCGCUAGUCUCUUGUUCCUCUUAUAACACGAAAAAAUCAUUCAUGAACAUGAACACCAAAAGGAGUAGAAAAACAGCGAGGGGAAUCCUCCAAAAGCCUCUUGGUAAGAGCCCUCAACUGAAACCCUUGAGCAGACUCUCCCGAUGGGCUUCACUAUCGUCCUGUAUCCAUUAAAACAAGGUGUUAUGGCAGUGAUUCUGUGGGGAACCCGAGGAGACACGCGUAGACCUGCCCUCACCUGAUAGAAGCUGCAAGUGAAAAAGACCCAGAAUUAGAUCUCAUUUGACGAAUCAUCAAGUUUCCAGUUAAAUGAGUCAAACCAAAACACAGAGCAAGUUACAUU